Molecule: RNase P RNA, 142 nt
Filed under: Oleiphilus sp. HI0072
Lineage: Bacteria; Pseudomonadati; Pseudomonadota; Gammaproteobacteria; Oceanospirillales; Oleiphilaceae
Description: partial RNase P RNA component class A
Rfam family: Bacterial RNase P class A
About the family: Ribonuclease P (RNase P) is a ubiquitous endoribonuclease, found in archaea, bacteria and eukarya as well as chloroplasts and mitochondria.
Source: RNAcentral
CCCCUCUCGGAGCAAAACCAAAUAGGAAUUCGUUGGCGUGGCUCGCGCUGAAUUCGGGUAGGUUGCUUGAACUAAAUGGUGACGUUUAGUCUAGAUGAAUGAUUGUCCACGACAGAACCCGGCUUAUCGGCAAACUCUUUAC